Molecule: ribosomal RNA, 229 nt
Filed under: uncultured bacterium
Lineage: Bacteria
Description: partial 16S ribosomal RNA
Rfam family: Bacterial small subunit ribosomal RNA
Source: RNAcentral
UGCGUAGGCGGCCUGAUAAGUCAGAGGUGAAAGCCCACAGCUCAACUGUGGAACUGCCUUUGAUACUGUUGGGCUUGAAUUAGGUUGAGGUUAGCGGAAUGUGGCAUGUAGCGGUGAAAUGCAUAGAUAUGCCAUAGAACACCAAUUGCGAAGGCAGCUGGCUAGACCUUAAUUGACGCUGAGGCACGAAAGCGUGGGGAGCAAACAGGAUUAGAUACCCUGGUAGUCC